UCCUAUUAACAAAAAGAAGAAAAAGCCUGCUGGUCUUAGUGGCACUCUGUGAACAGGACUGCAUAAUUUUCUUUUAUUGAAUUCAUUCCUAUCUCUUCAUGUGGUUCUGAGAAGUGUGGCCCAAGGACAUUUUCCUUCUUGAUUGGAGACAGGUUCCUCCCUGACUCAAACUGCCCAUUUGGGCCGAGAAGCCUAUUCUGAGAGACCCCUGCUGUGGAGAGGAGGGAAUACAGCUCUCUGUUCCAGGAGAUCUUGAGAGAAGAUGAAUCUUGUGGACAUCAGGGAGAAGAUAAACCAUUGGCUUCUCAACUUCCAGCACUUUUCAUCCUAUGGGCAGCCAUGAGAUCUUGUGCAGUAGAGAUGGGAGCAGAUGGUAUCUUAACACUUGGACAGACAAAGGAUGCUGACCACAGAUCUCACUCAUGGGCCUGCGUGAAUCCUGUAUCACCACCAUCGUUAAAGUUUCUCUCCGUUGAAGCCCUCUGUGGAACAAGACACAUCUCAAAGCUUCUCUCUGCUUCUUCUGCAUCUCAGAUUUACCAUCUGAUUGAGAUGAGAUGGCUGGAUGGCAUCACCGACUCGAUGGACAUGAGUUUGAGUAAACUCUGGGAGUUGGUGAUGGACAAGGAGACCUGGCGUGCUGCGAUUCAUGGGGUCGCAAAGAGUCGGACACGACUGAGCGACUGAACUGAUUGACUGAUGUUUUAAAACUAAUUUCAGAAAUCACUGGUGCACCACGUUCACCAUAUCUCUGGGGAAAGGAGACGCCAACCUGAGGAGCAACCAUGGGUUGUAAAUGUAGAUAAUCAAGAGCUUGGCCACACCCACCAUCCCUGUGGUCUUACUUUGGUUUGUCCUCAUUCAUUCUGUCUUGAGAUUCAGUUUCUUGUCUGAAUCCAUCGCCUUGCUCUUUUGGGGGCGAUAAACAAUUUCCGUUCAGGCCUUCUUGGACAUCACUUCUAUUUAUUUCACAAUCUGGAACUACUGAGGGUGGUUCCUCGGGUGGAGGAUAAAUCAGAAUUCACUCAGAACCAAAGAGGCAGGGUGAUAUAAGGGAGGGUUUUUAUCUGUGCUAGUGUUUGCUUUGGUGGUACAUACACUUAAAAUGAUUUUAAGUAUUAAAUCAUGCAUGCAAGGCAGGAAAGAGUUAAUCUGUCCCAGCCCCAUAGCGGAGAAGCAUGGGGAAACAUUAGCCAUCUUUGGGGAUAUUCUGUGUUCCAGGAGCUCUAGUAAACACUUUGCAUCUAGUAACUCAAUGACGCCUCACACUCACCAUACUAUGUGUUAGAAACAAUUCUUUUCCUUCAGUUUUCAGAUGAGGACACUGACACUAAAAACUUUUAGCA
RNAcentral lists this long non-coding RNA (1346 nucleotides) under Cervus hanglu yarkandensis (Yarkand deer). RNAcentral's name for it is "lncRNA (ENSCHYG00000023165.1)". Lineage: Eukaryota; Metazoa; Chordata; Mammalia; Artiodactyla; Cervidae. The record is from RNAcentral.